AGAGUUUGAUCAUGGCUCAGGACGAACGCUGGCGGCGCGCUUAACACAUGCAAGUCGUACGGGGACACUCCUUCGGGGGUGUCUUAGUGGCGAACGGGUGCGUAACACGUGGGCGACCUGCCGAGGUGUGGGGGGCAACACGGGGAAACCCGUGCUAAUACCGCAUACGCUCUUCCUUCUGCAUGGAGGGGAGAGGAAAGCUCCUGAAAGGGAGCGCACCUUGAGGGGCCCGCGGCGUAUCAGGUAGUUGGUGAGGUAACGGCUCACCAAGCCGACGACGCGUAGCCGGUCUGAGAGGACGACCGGCCACAUUGGGACUGAGAUACGGCCCAGACUCCUACGGGAGGCAGCAGUGGGGAAUCUUGCGCAAUGGACGAAAGUCUGACGCAGCGACGCCGCGUGCGGGAAGAAGCCCUUCGGGGUGUAAACCGCUGUCACCGGGGAAGAACGGCCGGGAGAGGAAAUGCUCCUGGAGUGACGGUACCCGGGGAGGAAGCACCGGCUAACUCUGUGCCAGCAGCCGCGGUAAUACAGAGGGUGCGAGCGUUGUUCGGAAUUACUGGGCGUAAAGCGCGCGCAGGCGGCUGUUUAAGUCUCACCGUUCAAGCCCGGAGCUCAACUCCGGUCCGCGGGGGAUACUGGACAGCUAGGGACGUGUAGGGGCGAGCGGAAUUCCGGGUGUAGCGGUGGAAUGCGUAGAGAUCCGGAAGAACACCGGGGGCGAAGGCGGCUCGCUGGGCAUGGUCCGACGCUGAGGCGCGAAAGCGUGGGGAGCGAACAGGAUUAGAUACCCUAGUAGUCC
Molecule: ribosomal RNA, 802 nt
Filed under: uncultured bacterium
Lineage: Bacteria
Description: bacterial SSU rRNA
Rfam family: Bacterial small subunit ribosomal RNA
Source: RNAcentral